RNAcentral lists this ribosomal RNA (253 nucleotides) under uncultured bacterium. RNAcentral describes it as "partial 16S ribosomal RNA". It matches the Rfam family "Bacterial small subunit ribosomal RNA", at positions 524 to 776 of the family's 1533-position model. The record is from RNAcentral.
UACGGAGGGUGCAAGCGUUACUCGGAAUUACUGGGCGUAAAGCGUGCGUAGGUGGUUCGUUAAGUCUGAUGUGAAAUCCCUGGGCUCAACCUGGGAACUGCAUUUGUGACUGCAUUGCUGGAGUGCGGCAGAGGGGGAUGGAAUUCCGCGUGUAGCAGUGAAAUGCGUAGAUAUGCGGAGGAACACCGAUGGCGAAGGCAAUCCCCUGGGCCUGCACUGACGCUCAUGCACGAAAGCGUGGGGAGCAAACAGG